GACGAACGCUGGCGGCGUGCCUAAUUACAUGCAAGUCGAGCGAGCUGAAUUCACUGAUCUCUUCGGAGUGACGUGUUGGACGCUAGCGGCGGAUGGGUGGAGUAACACGUGGGCGAAUCUGCCCUAAAGACUGGGAUACCACUUGGAAACAGGUGCUAAUACCGGAUAACAAUGAUGGUUGCAUGACCAUUAUUUGAAAGGCGGCGCAAGCUGUCGCUUUAGGAUGAGCCCGCGGUGCAUUAGCUAGUUGGUGAGGUAACGGCUCACCAAGGCGAUGAUGCAUAGCCGAGUUGAGAGACUGAUCGGCCACAUUGGGACUGAGACACGGCCCAAACUCCUACGGAGGCAGCAGUAGGGAAUACUUCCAACAAUAGGACGCAAAGUCUGAUGGAGCAACGCCGCGUGAGUGAAGAAGGUUUUUCGGAUCGUAAAGCUCUGUUGUUGGUGAAGAAGGAUGUGAGUAGC
RNAcentral lists this ribosomal RNA (465 nucleotides) under uncultured bacterium. Its description in RNAcentral is "bacterial SSU rRNA". It matches the Rfam family "Bacterial small subunit ribosomal RNA", at positions 28 to 462 of the family's 1533-position model. The record is from RNAcentral.